This 145-nucleotide small nucleolar RNA is filed under the name Peromyscus maniculatus bairdii (prairie deer mouse). RNAcentral's name for it is "Small nucleolar RNA SNORD10 (ENSPEMG00000005138.2)". It matches the Rfam family "Small nucleolar RNA SNORD10". The record is from Rfam by way of RNAcentral. Lineage: Eukaryota; Metazoa; Chordata; Mammalia; Rodentia; Cricetidae.
GCUCUGUGAUGAACCCCAUGCGUGUCAUCUGAGCCCAGCUUCCUUCCCUGUGGCCUUUCCCCAGGUGGUGUUCUACUUACCAGGGCUGUCGUCUGGCCUGGCAGGGAGGCCUUGGGCAAAGGAUCAGUCCUUACAUUCUGAGAGC